CACAUAGGAGAGGAUUCAACAAACUGAAUAAUUACAUGGAUCAGAAGCAGACUUCUGAAAUGCUUACGGGGCUAGCUCAAAGAGAAAUGCAAUCAGCAAUGUCAAAUGGGGAUGUACUGGGCUCAAAGGAAUUUAGUGAUGGGACUCCUUAAGACCAGGCUGAUAAGCUUUAGUAUUUUCAUUAAUUUUCAUUCACCCCAUCACAAAGAGUAUGAAUAUGCAUUUACAUAUGUUAAGGAUGCAAAUCUAUUAAGCACCACCAGUACAGAUGACUUUGAAACUUGUGUAAUAAAAAUGGGAUGAAAACAAAGUAUGAAAUGCCAAACCAAAUACUGGGGACUAAUAACAAAAAUUUCUGCCACAAGCCAGGAGCUCGUCAGACUGGGUGUAUGUGUUGCCAGAUGACUGACUGGCAAUGUGAUGCAGCCAUGGAAAAAGGCAAAUGCAAUUGGAGGAUGGGUCUGGUGAGGCAUUUCUGGUAGAAAAUGAGAAAUAUUGUUGCCAUUGCAAGGCUUCACAGCAGGAAUAACUGCACCAGAUCAAGGACGUUUUCCGAGCAUCCCAAGUGCAGUGGAAGGUUACUGAGCUGAUCCAGGGGUACAGAGAAACCUGAUCAAGUGAGAGGAAACUAGAAGAGCUUGUUUUCCACAGCAAAGAGAAGGCUGUGAGGCUGCUCUGUUUCAACAUAACCAUGAUGGAAAAAACAGGGAAGAAGAGCCAUUUCAUUUAGAAGAUGGUGCUGGCAUUAGAACAAAUGGGUAUAAACAGGACAUGGAUACAUUUUGGCUGUAGUUUAGAAGAAGGCUCUCUUACCAAUGAAACAGAAAACUGCUUUUCCUCCACAGGUACUAAAGGCAAAAGGAUUGGCACAAUCCCUCUCAGCAAUACAUAAUUUGUGCGCCUGAAGGCACACAAAAACCAUGAACUGGAUGACCAGGGGAGUGCCUCCACCUUAUUUGUGACUUAUUUCCACUGGUACAAAUGUCCUGCGGAUCUCUCACCCCCUUCUCAACUUAUCUCCAUGUAACACAUAAAACGAGGACCAGAAAACACCCACAGAAGUCAGUUUUCAACCGAGGAGACCUUCCUCCAUUUGCAGAGGAUGGCAUUGGGGACAACUUCAGCAGCAGGUUCCAGUUUAGAUGAUCCUAGUUCCUAUACCAGACACGUUUUCCCCUCUUUCUCCAGCUGUUUUCUAACACAAAAAAAGCAAGGCCAGCCUCUCAGGCAGCAUGUUGUGGUGCUGCUGAGAGUCAUGUAUGUUACGUGGGGAGGUUGUUCGUGGUUGUGGGUAUUUUUGAAAACCCUGCUUUUUUUCUGCCCACCACACCACAGCACAGCUACAGCUUCCUCUUUCGUUGCUUUCCUGUUUCUUUUUUCUCUUCUUCAAGCAACAGGGCAAAUUGAGUCUUUUGAAAGAAGCUUGUGAGAGACGGAUGGUGACAACCACAUUGCCCCUCUUUCCUGUGCCCUCACCUACCACUGCGCCUGGCUCUCCUUUCUCUACACACUGCACUCACGCUGCACCAGCCUGCCAGCAGCAUUCACUACUGUGUACUUACAGGUAUUUUCAUCUGGAUAAACUGCAAAGAAGGAAGGUUUCCUCAUGCGGUUAUAAGAUGGAGGAGAACUGAAAUGGAAAAUGAAAUAAAUCACUCUGUUUUGACUUGUGAGUAAUAACUGCUGAAGCCAACCUUUCCACACAAAAUGCUCCACUGGUUUAUGUGGCCAGGAUGUUUUGCCACCAAAAUCUAGGUGGAGUCAAUUGAAAUCUGUCCUGUGGGUUUUGCGGUACGUUAAUAUGUUUUCUAAAUUUAAUAUACUCCCGGGCAGAAAGCUUGAAUUCCUGAAGAUAGCAACUCCUGUGUUUUUUUCCUUUCUCUCUUCUUUUUUUUUUUUUUUCUUUUCCAAAUAGACCUACAUGGAAAGGUCUCUUACAGGUUUCACUGUUUCCUACCACAGAUUAGUCAAUGAACCUAAAUUUAAUCACUUUGUCCUUUAGUGAGUGGCAUCCUUCUGUGUGUCUGAAAGAGUGAAUGAUCACUAAUGUGAGGAUAAAAAUCCUGAAAAUGAGUGGAUGAAGGAGGAGCAAUCUUGGACAUCUUUUGGAUGUAAAUAAAGACCAAGUGUUGUCAU
Non-coding RNA from Anas platyrhynchos (mallard), 2136 nucleotides. The record is from RefSeq and is a predicted model, not a curated record. Lineage: Eukaryota; Metazoa; Chordata; Aves; Anseriformes; Anatidae.